UACGGAGGGUCCAAGCGUUAUCCGGAUUUAUUGGGUUUAAAGGGUGCGCAGGCGGAACUUUAAGUCAGUGGUGAAAUCUUGCCGCUUAACGGUAAAAUUGCCAUUGAUACUGAAGUUCUUGAAUGUAGUUGAGGUAGGCGGAAUGUGUUGUGUAGCGGUGAAAUGCAUAGAUAUGACACAGAACGCCAAUUGCGAAGGCAGCUUACUAAGCUACGAUUGACGCUGAGGCA
Molecule: ribosomal RNA, 230 nt
Filed under: uncultured microorganism
Description: partial 16S ribosomal RNA
Rfam family: Bacterial small subunit ribosomal RNA
Source: RNAcentral